Cyanistes caeruleus (blue tit) is the source of this 364-nucleotide long non-coding RNA. RefSeq lists it as uncharacterized. The record is from RefSeq and is a predicted model, not a curated record. Lineage: Eukaryota; Metazoa; Chordata; Aves; Passeriformes; Paridae.
UGCUCUGCUUGUUCGUAGUGUUCAAACACAUUCUGGUGCAGGCCAGCCCUGAUUAGAAGCAGACUGGUGGAGGAUUAUUCCAGAGCACAAGAACAAAUAUGGGACGGAGACUGAGAGAAAAUUUUUAAGAAAACAGAGCAAAAAAGUAGAAAGGAGGUCAGUAAUGAGGACCUGAGGAGCCCUUUGAAGGACAGAGCAGUGUAGACAGCUUUAUCAGACAGAACCUAGAAAAUAUGCUCAAAGCCAUGGACCUCUGUUCUCUGCCUUGUUCCUGGUCAGAAGAUGAAGUCCUGCCCUGCAGACUCUGCAGCUGCUCCCAAGGGUGAAAGAGUGGAAAAGACUGUAUAAGCAAUAAAAAAAUAUC